This is an RNA transcript of Lathyrus oleraceus (garden pea), 2513 nucleotides long. It is a transcript of the gene named bifunctional dihydrofolate reductase-thymidylate synthase, with no coding region annotated. The transcript has 13 exons. The record is from RefSeq and is a predicted model, not a curated record. Lineage: Eukaryota; Viridiplantae; Streptophyta; Magnoliopsida; Fabales; Fabaceae.
CCUCUUUUUAACACUGAUAAGCAUUUAAAAAAAAACACUGUAAUAAAAAUUCAACAAAACCCUAUCAUCUCCGUCGUACCGGCGGCAGUUUCUCUCGGUGUCGCCAUCUCUGCUCGUCGUCUCCGUUUCAUCUCUCUGUCCACAACUAUUUCAAAUCAGAACACAAAGCUCUAUCCUCACUCACUCUUAGCUCAUCACUAUUUCAAAAUUUCGCGCCUCAAUUUCAUAUCGAUUGCACUGCACUUCCAAAAGAAUUGGUUGUGCGGUUCUUGUUUUCAUCAGAAGCAUUUUUUAAGUUUAUCGCGGUUUCUGAGUUCUGCUAUGGCUGCUGAUUCCUCUGUAAUGUUCAAUGGAAAUGGAAAUGGGAGCAUCAACCCAAUGCCUAACCUACAGAGAACUUACCAAGUGGUUGUGGCGGCCACCAAAGAUAUGGGCAUUGGUAAGGAUGGAAAGUUGCCAUGGAGAUUACCUACUGAUCUCAAGUUUUUCAAGGAGAUAACUACGACGACUUCCGAAUCUGGGAAGAAGAAUGCCAUUGUUAUGGGAAGAAAAACAUGGGAGAGUAUCCCUCUUCAGUUCAGGCCUCUUCCGGGUCGUCUUAAUGUUGUUUUGACUCGUUCAGGUAGUUUUGAUGCUAAAGCAGCGGAGAAUGUUGUAAUAUGUGGAAGUAUAUCUUCUGCAUUGGAACUUUUAGCUGCUUCUCCUUAUUGUACAUCGAUUGAGAAAAUAUUUGUUAUUGGGGGUGGUGAGAUAUUUAGAGAUGCUCUCAAUGCACCCGAAUGUGAAGCUAUCCACAUCACAGAAAUUCACACAAGCUUUGAAUGUGACACUUUUAUGCCUCCAAUUGAUUUCACUACAUUUCGGCCAUGGUACUCAUCCUUUCCUAAGGUGGAAAACAACAUCCGAUAUUCUUUCACCACUUAUGUGCGUGUAAGAAGUUCUGUAGCAGAGUCCUUGAAUCAGAGUACUGUUUCACCUCUUGAUAAUAAACCGGCUUCUAAAAAAUUUGAGGUUCAGAACUUUUCUUUUCUUCCGAAAAUGAUCUUUGAGAGACAUGAGGAGUACAUGUAUCUUAAUCUGGUUCAAGAAAUCAUAUCUCAAGGUACCUCCAAGGGUGAUAGGACAGGGACUGGGACCUUGUCAAAAUUUGGUUGCCAGAUGAGGUUCAAUCUGCGUAGAGGCUUUCCUCUUCUAACAACUAAGAGAGUAUUUUGGCGUGGGGUUGUUGAAGAGCUUCUUUGGUUUAUCAGUGGCUCAACAAAUGCCAAGGUGUUACAGGAAAAAGGCAUUCAUAUAUGGGAUGAUAAUGCAUCCAGGGAAUUCCUUGAUAGCAUUGGUUUGUCAGAGAGGGAGGAGGGUGACUUAGGACCUGUUUAUGGGUUUCAGUGGAGACACUUUGGUGCCAGGUAUACUAACAUGCAUAAUGACUAUGCCGGCCAAGGAGUUGAUCAGCUUUUAGAUGUUAUCAACAAGGUAAAGCAUAAUCCUGAUGAUAGACGGAUCAUUCUCUCUGCAUGGAAUCCAGCAGAUCUUAAAUUGAUGGCACUUCCACCCUGCCACAUGUCUGCACAGUUCUAUGUAGCAAAUGGGGAGUUAUCAUGUCAAAUGAAUCAGCGAUCUGCUGACAUGGGCCUGGGCGUGCCAUUCAACAUUGCAUCUUAUGCCCUCCUGACAUGCAUGAUUGCUCAUAUUUGUGAACUUGUUCCAGGUGAUUUUAUCCAUGUUCUUGGGGAUGCACAUGUUUACCAAACUCAUGUGAGGCCUUUGCAGGAGCAGCUUCAUAACCUGCCAAAACCUUUUCCAACUUUGAAAAUCAAUUCAAAGAAGAAAGAUAUAGAUUCUUUUGUGGCUACUGAUUUCAAGCUCAUUGACUAUGAUCCUCACCAAAAGAUUGAGAUGAAGAUGGCUGUUUAAAAUAAGAGAGAUCUUAGUCCCCACUUCAGGUUGUUUCUGCUGUUUGAAAUGAGGAGAUGGUUUUAGAUUACUUUGAUGAUUGCAUAGGAUUUGUUUGUAACGAAACAAAGUGCUCAAUUAAGAUGAUGGCAUGAUUUAUAUUAAUCUACUGCAAUUCAUUAUACCUGUUAAUUGCUGGUUUUGCAAUAAAGAAUUGUAGAGAAUGCUGAGGCACAACAAAUAGGUUUAUGGAGUAACAUCAAUUUGUUGAACGCACGUUAAUGCAGUCAAGUCAUACCAAUAAUUUAACAGAAAUUGUGUACACCAGAACCCAUCUUGAGAAUAGAUUUACAUGUGCAACUGAUUUGGAAGCAUAGCUAAUUAUUAUUAGGAAGUGUUUCAAGAGAGUUAUAAAGCAUAGGGUUAAGAUCAUUUCUAUUUCUCAAAAAGUACUAACUAGUAAUUAAUGAGCUUUUAAAGCCAUUUGCCAAAUGCUUUAAUUUUAUGCCAGUUCAUCUAAAAGAUACAAAAAUGUCGCCCAAACAACUCCAUUUUACAUCUGUCUUUGUUAUUUUUGUAAUUUAUUGGGCUAUUUAAGUUAAAGUGACAGAUUUAGGGUA